CGUAGGGCGCGGGCGUUGUCCGGAUUUAUUGGGCGUAAAGAGCUCGUAGGCGGCUUGUUACGUCGACUGUGAAAACCCGCGGCUCAACCGUGUGGUCUGCAGUCGAUACGGGCAGGCUAGAGUUCGGUAGGGGAGACUGGAAUUCCUGGUGUAGCGGUGAAAUGCGCAGAUAUCAGGAGGAACACCGGUGGCGAAGGCGGGUCUCUGGGCCGAUACUGACGCUGAGGAGCGAAAGCGUGGGGAGCGAACAGGAUUAGAUACCCUGGUAGUCCACGCUGUAAACGUUGGGCGCUAGGUGUGGGGGGCCUCUCCGGUUCUCUGUGCCGCAGCUAACGCAUUAAGCGCCCCGCCUGGGGAGUACGGCCGCAAGGCUA
RNAcentral lists this ribosomal RNA (374 nucleotides) under uncultured organism. RNAcentral's name for it is "bacterial SSU rRNA". It matches the Rfam family "Bacterial small subunit ribosomal RNA", at positions 526 to 896 of the family's 1533-position model. The record is from RNAcentral.